This 168-nucleotide non-coding RNA is filed under the name Clostridium septicum. RNAcentral's name for it is "SAM riboswitch (S box leader)". It matches the Rfam family "SAM riboswitch aptamer (S box leader)". Rfam says of the family: The SAM riboswitch is found upstream of a number of genes which code for proteins involved in methionine or cysteine biosynthesis in Gram-positive bacteria. The SAM riboswitch acts at the level of transcription termination control. The record is from RNAcentral. Lineage: Bacteria; Bacillati; Bacillota; Clostridia; Eubacteriales; Clostridiaceae.
UCUUAUAAAGAGCGGUGGAGGGACUGGCCCUGUGAAGCCCAGCAACCUACUUUUAAAAGGGUAGAAAAUAGAAAGUUUAGAUUUAUUCUAGAUAUGUUUAUUUUAUAAAACCUAAGUUUAAAAGUGUGGUGCUAAUUCCUGCAGCUAAUUUUUAGCUGAAAUAUGAGA